Molecule: RNA transcript, 2202 nt
Organism: Impatiens glandulifera
Lineage: Eukaryota; Viridiplantae; Streptophyta; Magnoliopsida; Ericales; Balsaminaceae
Exons: 11
Source: RefSeq, a predicted model, not a curated record
AGUUCGUCUUCUCUGCAGCAGCCAAUUCAUUUGUGUUAUCUGUGUUCCGAUUCAUCUCGAGUAUGCUCAUUGCCUCAUUCUUCCUCGCCUUCAAGCCAAACGCAAACGAGACACUUCAACUGCUCCAAUCCAUGUUUGACGUGCUUCCACACGAUAUCACAGUCGAAUGAAACGGUCGAGAUUGCGUCUUCAUCCGUAAGAAUUGUUCCUGUUCUCCGUUAUUAAAUAAUUAUUUGACGAAUAUGACGUUUACAAUUAGGGAAAACAGAGGAUCUCUUCACGAUAUUAAGAUCGAUGCAUACAAGGGUUUAGCUUUUCUUCCUAAUUAUACUAGGGCGGCUAGAGCUGGAUCAAUUGUUUCGUUAAAUCUGUUUUGUGGAUGUUCGAGUGAGUUGCGGAACUACCCGAUGGGUUACGUGAUGGGAGAGAGUGAUAGUAUUGAAUCUUUAGCAAUUAGAUUUGGGUCUGGGAAACUUAUUAUUGAAGAUGAUGAUGACAAGGAUGACGAUGAUGAGGAUGAUGAUGACAAAGAUGAAGAUGACGUUGAAGAUAAAUUGUACAGAUUGAUUCAAAUUCCAGUCUCUAUUGUUCAAAUACACAUUUGUUUAAGACUGAGCUCUCUAGGGUUCUAUAUGAAAUCAAUAUUGAUGUUAAUUAGCUUUCAUGCUAUCAUAUUCUGUGAACUGUGUUUGAGAGAUGUCAGACAUUCAAAAGAAAUGAUUUCCUUACAAAAUUUAAAGAAUACUCAAUUAACUAAUUUGUUUUUCAAGUACAUGUAAUGAAGAAGAUUAUGUUUGACUAAAUGUGACAACAUUUUGAGAAGAUGGCAGGUCAAGUUGAUGCAACUAGCAGAUUAAAGCAAAGCAGAAGCGAGAAAAAGAGCAGGAAGGCAAUGCUUAAGCUUGGAAUGAAGUUCAUUCCUGGUGUCAGCAGAGUUACUGUGAAGAAGAGCAAAAAAACAGAUUUGGAGUUCUAAACUGCAACCCAUCAUCCAAAGAGUUCUUUCUGUUCAUUUUUUUGGAUCAUGUGGGUAAAGAGAUUAUGUAAAAAGAUAUAUGCCUGUCAUGGGGUUGCUGUUUCUUCAUUUAUUACCUGAUGAGCUCUUGAAAUAGAAGAUAAUACUACUAAAGAGAAGAGAGGAGGCUGAAAGUGAAAGCAAUCAUAAAAAUCUUAGUGAGCAAUGGUGACUGGAAAAUGGUAUAAGAAGAGGAGCUGUGUUUAAUGGGAGAAAUCAGGUCUGGAAAUCCCUUUUUUUUAUUAUUCAUUAUUUAUCAUUCAUUAUUAAAUGGCAUCAAUUGGUUUGUUCAUCAAUGGGUCAGGUUUUAUUUAUGCUGAAAUGGCAGAAAUGCCCAUUUCUGACAUCUAUUAGUAUUAUUUUGAUGGCUAAUCAAAUAGGGUCACAAGUAUGAUUAAUGGAGCGAGGUUAAUAGAGUAAAUUAACGGGGAGUUAGAAUAAUGAAUGUGGUUGUUGUUAACAGGGUUGAAGGUUGACUUUGGUAUAGUGUAUUCAUUUAUGAGCAUUAUAAUAGUCCUUUCUAUUUUUUUAUGACAGGAAAGAAAAACAUUGGCAACUUUUCUGGCUAUGUGUGGUUGACUUGUUUUUAAAUAAGAGCAAGACCUUCCGGUUUCCGUCUAUGGAUCGUUUCUUGAAAGAUGCAAGAGCUUCCGGUUCCCUCAACCUCUCCAACCGUUCACUAAGUGAAGUGCCAAAUGAAGUAUACAAAAGCAUGGAUGCUAUUGGAGGCAGUGAGAAAUGGUGGGAGACCGUGGAGCUACAGAAGCUUAUUUUAGCGCAUAAUAACAUUGAAUCGUUGAGGGAAGAUCUCAGAAACUUGCCUUUAUUGUCUGUACUUAAUGUUAGACACAAUCCCUCCCGCCGGCUGCCAUAGGCGAGCUUCACAUGCUAAAAUCAUUAGAUGUUUCAUUUAACAUGAUAUCCAGCAUACCUGAAGAAAUUGGAUCGGCAACUGCUUUGGUCAAGUUUAAAUGCUCAAAUAAUCAACUAAAAGAUCUUCCAGGCUCCAUAGGACGUUGUUCAGAUUUGUCAGAGUUCAAAGUGGAGGCCGAAGAGAAGAUCAAGUAGAUAAAAAUCAUCCAUUCCAAAUUUUUAUUUCAUUUUUGUUGUUCAAAACUACUUUGUUUGUUUGAGAUUUUUGUGACUAUGAUAUGAUUUUAUUAAAUAAUUUUAUAAGAUAAUUUUGU